GGACCGACAGCAAUAUGAAGGCCAGGCUGAAGACUUUGCCGGAUUAGCUGAGAGGUGGUGCAUGGCCGUCGUCAGUUCGUACUGUGAAGCAUCCUGUUAAGUCAGGCAACGAGCGAGACCCACGCCCACAGUUGCCAGCGUACUCUCUGGAGUGACGGGUACACUGUGGGGACCGCCGCUGCUAAAGCGGAGGAAGGAAUGGGCAACGGUAGGUCAGUAUGCCCCGAAUAUCCCGGGCUACACGCGAGCUACAAUGGUUGGUACAAUGGGUAUCUACCCCGAAAGGGGACGGGAAUCUCCUAAAACCAAUCUUAGUUCGGAUUGAGGGCUGCAACUCGCCCUCAUGAAGCUGGAAUCCGUAGUAAUCGCGUUUCAACAGAACGCGGUGAAUACGUCCCUGCUCCUU
Molecule: ribosomal RNA, 406 nt
Filed under: uncultured Methanosaeta sp.
Lineage: Archaea; Methanobacteriati; Methanobacteriota; Methanomicrobia; Methanotrichales; Methanotrichaceae
Description: bacterial SSU rRNA
Rfam family: Archaeal small subunit ribosomal RNA
Source: RNAcentral